AAACUCUUAGCGGUGGAUCACUUGGCUCGUGGAUCGAUGAAGCACGCAGCUAGCUGCGAGAAUUAAUGUG
RNAcentral lists this ribosomal RNA (70 nucleotides) under Thelazia callipaeda (thelaziosis nematode). Its description in RNAcentral is "partial 5.8S ribosomal RNA". It matches the Rfam family "5.8S ribosomal RNA", at positions 1 to 69 of the family's 154-position model. From Rfam's summary of the family: 5.8S ribosomal RNA (5.8S rRNA) is a component of the large subunit of the eukaryotic ribosome. It is transcribed by RNA polymerase I as part of the 45S precursor that also contains 18S and 28S rRNA. The record is from RNAcentral. Lineage: Eukaryota; Metazoa; Nematoda; Chromadorea; Rhabditida; Thelaziidae. RNAcentral also lists the same sequence under 1 other name.